CAGCACCUCGGUCGCCGCGACGCUAGGGCCCCAAUAGGCAGGCAAUCGGCGCCACCCGCGUCCGGCGGAGGCCUCCAGCCAAAGCUCCCUCGCCCACGCCGUGCCUGCCGUCAGACAGGCCCCGAGCGACGGACCUGAACUCUACGUGACGCUUGACUCAACGACCAGCGAGAUUAAGCCCGGUUUAAGAGCGGCAUCAUCUCACUCAAGGAAACUAGAAAUUGUCGCCUGCCCAGUGCUCAGGAGGCUCGCAGUCUCUAGGAAAACUAUAGCACCGGGGUUUUUUUGUUUAUUUGUUUUUUGCUUUUUGUGCUUGUUGUUUGUUUCUGGCCGAACUCAAAGAGCAAAUAUUUCUCAGGCAAUUGCCAGACAGCGCCGACUUGAAACGUAGAGAGAUGCAAACGGCGCUCCGAGCACCUGAGACUUCAAGUCCCAGAUCAGGGCUGCUUUUGGUAUUCACUCCCAGAGAGCAGCCGCCACGCCCUGUUGAGACACACAUGCAGAAGCCUCGCCUGCAACACUCUCUUGUUCAGUUAUAAAAAUCUCGGUGGGGGUUGUUUUUCAACUCCUUAAGCUCAUCCAUCUCAUUGAGCAUCUGAUGGACUUGGAACUUGGAAGAGAGGAACUUCAGGCGACGGAUGAAGACUGGUGUGGGUACAGUCCACAGCCAGGGGGAGUUGUUCAGUGGCUUAGCUAUAUUCAGCCACCAAGUAGAACAUGUCCUACAAGACUGCAAGCCAAGUUUCAGAUGCCCUCUAGCUUUCAAAGGAGGAGCAGUUACUCCCUGGUAUCUGUGUGCCUUGUCCUUUCUUCCAUCUUUCUUUUAAUCUUCCCAUCUUUCUUUUUAUUUCUGCUUUCAUUUCUGCUAAACUCAUGGGUAUGAAGUUUGUCUUAUAAUUUGAGAACUCUGGAGUUCUCAAACUGUGUUUCACAUGUACUUAAUACUAUUAAAUGUUUCAUUUAAGUUCUUUAGUGUCCCAAACCCUGCCAUUUGCAGAUCAU
This is a non-coding RNA of Ictidomys tridecemlineatus (thirteen-lined ground squirrel), 1002 nucleotides long. NCBI's taxonomy places the organism in Eukaryota, Metazoa, Chordata, Mammalia, Rodentia, Sciuridae. The record is from RefSeq and is a predicted model, not a curated record.